GAGGAUGCUUUUGGUGAGGUGCCUUCCGAGUUCCCUGGAACGGGACGCCUUAGAGGGUGAGAGCCCCGUACGGUUGGACACCGAACCUCUGUAAAGCUCCUUCGACGAGUCGAGUAGUUUGGGAAUGCUGCUCUAAAUGGGAGGUAAAUUUCUUCUAAAGCUAAAUAUUGGCCAGAGACCGAUAGCGCACAAGUAGAGUGAUCGAAAGAUGAAAAGCACUUUGAAAAGAGGGUUAAACAGCACGUGAAAUUGUUGAAAGGGAAGCGUUUGCGACCAGACUUUUUCCUAGCGGAUCAUCCGGUGGUUUCCACCGGUGCACUUCGCGAGGAUUAGGCCAGCAUCGGCUUCUGUAGGGGGAUAAAAACAGUGGGAACGUGGCUCCUCCGGGAGUGUUAUAGCCCUCUGUAUAAUACCCUUAUAGGGGCCGAGGACCGCGCCCUCGGGCAAGGAUGCUGGCGUAAUGGUCGCCAACGACCCGUCUUGAAACACGGACCAAGGAGUCGAACAUUGAUGCGAGUGUUAGGGUGUUAAACCCCUGCGCGAAAUGAAAGUGAACGUAGGUGAGAGCCCUUUACGGGGUGCAUCAUCGACCGAUCUUGAUGUCUUCGGAUGGAUUUGAGUAAGAGCAUCACUGUUCGGACCCGAAAGAUGGUGAACUAUGCGUGGAUAGGGUGAAGCCAGAGGAAACUCUGGUGGAGGCUCGCAGCGGUUCUGACGUGCAAAUCGAUCGUCAAAUCUGCGCAUGGGGGCGAAAGACUUAUCGAACCAUCUAGUAGCUGGUUACCGCCGAAGUUUCCCUCAGGAUAGCAGUGUUGUUCUUCAGUUUUAUGAGGUAAAGCGAAUGAUUAGGGACUCGGGGGCUCUUUUUUGCCUUCAUCCAUUCUCAAACUUUAAAUAUGUAAGAAGCCCUUGUUGCUUAGUUGAACGUGGGCAUUCGAAUGUACCAACACUAGUGGGCCAUUUUUGGUAAGCAGAACUGGCGAUGCGGGAUGAACCGAACGCGGGGUUAAGGUGCCGGAGUGGACGCUCAUCAGACACCACAAAAGGUGUUAGCACAUUUAGACAAUAGGACGGUGGCCAUGGAAGUCGGAAUCCGCUAAGGACUGUGUAACAACUCACCUAUCGAAUGUGCUAGCCCUGAAAAUGGAUGGCGCUCAAGCGUCCCACCCAUACCUCGCCCUCAGCGUAGGACCUAUGCGCUGAGGAGUAGGCGGCCGUGGGGGUUUAG
Molecule: ribosomal RNA, 1228 nt
Filed under: Nemania hyrcana
Lineage: Eukaryota; Fungi; Ascomycota; Sordariomycetes; Xylariales; Xylariaceae
Description: Nemania sp. MJP-2022a partial large subunit ribosomal RNA
Rfam family: Eukaryotic large subunit ribosomal RNA
Source: RNAcentral